UGAAGCGGUAAAAGCUCAAAUUUGAAAUCUGGCUCUUUUAGAGUCCGAAUUGUAAUUUGUAGAAGAUGCUUCGGGUGUGGUUCCGGUCUAAGUUCCUUGGAACAGGACGUCAUAGAGGGUGAGAAUCCCGUAUGUGACUGGAUACCUAUGCUCAUGUGAAGCUCUUUCGACGAGUCGAGUUGUUUGGGAAUGCAGCUCAAAAUGGGAGGUAUAUUUCUUCUAAAGCUAAAUAUUGGCCAGAGACCGAUAGCGCACAAGUAGAGUGAUCGAAAGAUGAAAAGCACUUUGGAAAGAGAGUUAAACAGUACGUGAAAUUGUUGAAAGGGAAGCGCUUGCAAUCAGACUUGCACUUGGUGUUCAUCAGGGUCUCGUACCCUGUGUACUUCAUCAAGUUCAGGCCAGCAUCAGUUUGAGUGGUUAGAUAAAGGCUUAGAGAAUGUGGCCCUCUUCGGGGGGUGUUAUAGCUCUAGGUGCAAUG
RNAcentral lists this ribosomal RNA (478 nucleotides) under Botrytis cinerea. Its description in RNAcentral is "eukaryotic LSU rRNA". It matches the Rfam family "Eukaryotic large subunit ribosomal RNA", at positions 94 to 575 of the family's 3401-position model. Lineage: Eukaryota; Fungi; Ascomycota; Leotiomycetes; Helotiales; Sclerotiniaceae. The record is from RNAcentral.